GACGAACGCUGGCGGCGUGCUUAACACAUGCAAGUCGAACGGAAAGGCCCUGCUUGCAGGGUACUCGAGUGGCGAACGGGUGAGUAACACGUGGGUGAUCUGCCCUGCACUUCGGGAUAAGCCUGGGAAACUGGGUCUAAUACCGGAUAGGAGCCAUUUUUAGUUUGAUGGUUGGAAAGUUUUUUCGGUGUAGGAUGAGCUCGCGGCCUAUCAGCUUGUUGGUGGGGUAAUGGCCUACCAAGGCGGCGACGGGUAGCCGGCCUGAGAGGGUGGACGGCCACAUUGGGACUGAGAUACGGCCCAGACUCCUACGGGAGGCAGCAGUGGGGAAUAUUGCACAAUGGGCGCAAGCCUGAUGCAGCGACGCCGCGUGGGGGAUGACGGCCUUCGGGUUGUAAACUCCUUUCGCUAGGGACGAAGCUUUUUGUGACGGUACCUAGAUAAGAAGCACCGGCUAACUACGUG
This 465-nucleotide ribosomal RNA is filed under the name uncultured bacterium. RNAcentral describes it as "partial 16S ribosomal RNA". It matches the Rfam family "Bacterial small subunit ribosomal RNA", at positions 28 to 507 of the family's 1533-position model. The record is from RNAcentral.